GUUUUAUAAAGGGUAACUGGCAGCAGUUUGGGAGUUUAUUCAACACAACAUCAUCAACUCAGGAACAGCAAGUGUUGGAGAAAGGAUUCAUGAUUUCUCUGCAAAAAGAUGAGACGGACAAAUUUGAGAUUUACAAAAAAACUCACUGCAGUAUAUAUGCAGCAUCACAUGGUAAUCAGCGUGGACUUGUUGUUUGUAACUUACCCUAUGGUAUACUGAUUUGUGCAUAUGCCCUUCCACUUAACGCUAGUACAGCUAUCAAACACGUUGAGCAGUUCUGUGAUCUAUUAAGAACAUAAUGCAUCUUGUAACUUGAUUAUCCAAACUUCAAGACAACAGAAAGAUUGCAAGGAACUUUCAUAGUCAAAUGUGUGACUGGAGCAUACCACAUACAGUACCUCUACUUUCAUAUUACUGAGGUACAUUGGUGAAUACAUAAUGAAAUAUUGUGAUGGUAUUAAGUACAGGUGUGCAUGUACACUAUUGUAAGGAAUAUGCUGUUAUACAAGAAAGAAAGAAAAAUGUUACUCUAUUAUUAAACUCAUGAUUGAGUCAUUAAUAUUCAGUGUUCUCCACAAUCCAAAAUAGGUCAUAGGUGUUCUAAUUUGCAUAAAUAUGCAUAUUAAUUUGAAUACUGUUGACAUACAUUCCAAUUAUUUUACAUUAUAUGUUUACAUAUUACAUUUACAAUCUUUUGAAAUAAUAACAAAGGAAUAACAUAAUUUGCAGUCUUGGAAAUCAGUAUUCAACAUAAUACUCCUGCAAGGUUAGUGAUUACGUUCUCAAAAGAAUUUGGGAUAAAAUGCAGCAUGCAUAGAAACCAAUGAAUUUUCAUGAAAAAUAAUAACAAAUAUGAUGAGCCAAAAAAGGAUAAUUUUGUCAAAAUAAAAGUAACCAUAUUUUA
Long non-coding RNA from Saccoglossus kowalevskii, 904 nucleotides. The record is from RefSeq and is a predicted model, not a curated record. NCBI's taxonomy places the organism in Eukaryota, Metazoa, Hemichordata, Enteropneusta, Harrimaniidae.